UGAAGCGCCGCUGCUUUGGUCUCUUGCUUCUUCGCUUGUUUUUGUUCGGGUCUUUCCGCUUGAUCACGACGACUCGUCAGGCACAAGUGCGUCUCCACAAGGUGCCUCCCGUCACGCCUGUAGAUCUCCGUCCACCAUCCACCACUGAUCCCGUCCUCUGCACACAGUGCGAACACCCUCUGCGUCCCUCAGGGCUCUCCCCCACCACCACCACCGGCUUUCGCAAGUCUGCACACGCGCGCCCUUUCACCGUGUGAGAGGAAGCGAGAGCUGGCGUCUGUCGUGCACACAGUCGUUCUGUCAUUCGGGUGCGUGCGGUCCCCAACUCUCUGCCACCUGUGCAUCUGCACGUGCUCGGCGUGCCGCAGCGCCCCUCCCCCUCUCUUUCGUAGCCGUGGACGCACACCAACGCGGCUGACGCCCACCGCUCCUUCGUACCUACGUGUUGGCCGGGAUGACCAUGAACGGCACUGCGACGGAGAACACCGCCAAGAAGCGUCAGUCGGUGCUCGAUGUGGGGCAGCGCAACCAGCUGGAGGCGAUGCAAGCCGAGGUGCGCCGUAACAAUGAGCAGCUCACCUCGCUCCGCCGUGAGAACAAGGAGCUGCGCAUGGUGCUUCAGCAGACCAUCCGCGGCCAGCGCAACAUCAGCGUCGAGGAUCACUACGCCAAGGAGGAGGAACUUCUGCAUAACAAAAUGUGCGUGCUGAAGCGCAGCCUCAACGCCGUCAAGGGCAAGAAUGCCGAGCUGCUCAAGGAGAUCGAGCGAGCCACCGAGGAGAACCGCUUCAUCCAGCAGGAGGGCAACGGCGUGCUGGAGGAAGACUCCGCCGUCGCGCACAAAAUCCGUGCCCUCGAGAACCGCCUGGACAAGUGCCUUGUGAAGCACAACGAAGUGCAGACGAUUCGGCGCACGUACGAGACACUUCUGGAGCGGCUGCAGUUGGAGCAGGCCGGCUUCAACACGCAGGUGUCGUCGACGGAGCAGGCGCUGCAGUGUGCCGACAAGGAGCUGGGCGACUUGGUGGCGCUCUGGAAGGACGCGGCAAAGGCGCGGGACGCGGCAAAGGCGGAGGUGUCGGACCUGAAAGCGCAGCUCGCCGCAGAGAGGCAGAGGCAGCUCAAAGACCUCGAGGAGCGCCGCGUCUUUAUCGAGUCCAAGCGGCAGCAGCUGGCGAAGAAGCACGAGGCCCUGCUUCUGAAGAUCUCCCAGCAGGAGGAGCGGCAUGCGCGCACAAUGCAGCGCAUAAACAGCGUCUCCGGUGGCAGCGCCCGUCGCCGCGGGCACCGCAGCCGCGCCUCGUCCGCCUCAUUGCUCAGCCCGGCGGAUGUGGAGCAGCUGCAGAAGCAGAAGACGGCGUACCUCCGCCUGCGCGAUGUGACAAUGGGCACGAACGUUGCAGACGUCCUCGCAAGGCUGCGUGAGAGGUCGGAUCACCACAUACAGCUGAAGACCACCGCCGCAGAGCUCGAGGCUAGCAUGGAGCAGCUCGACAACGAAAGGUUGGCGCUGCAGUCGGAGUGGGAGGAGGUGAACCACCGCGCCGGCCACGCGCUUGUGUCCGCCCGCGUGAUGCGGGCUGCUCGUGACAUGCGUAGCGGUGCUGACAAGGAGAGCGGCACGUUGUGCGGCGCCGAGGGCAAGGAUGGCGAGGGCGACAGCAACAGGAACGCCGCGGGGGUGGCUGGCGGCGCCGAUGCAAUCGACUACGGCCUUCUCGCCGACCGGCGUCACGAGCGUCGUCUUGUUCUCGACGAAUUCCGCCAGCAUCUGCACCAGCGGCAGGGCGAGCUCGAGGAGGCGGAAGAGAAGCACAACUGGCUCUCUCAGCUUCUCCGCGAGGUGGAUCUUGGUGUGCAGUACCUGGCCGAGAAGCUGUCCAUCUCCGGCGCGCAGGCCGUGGACGUCUCCGCUACGUCGCAGCAGCAUCAGAAGCAGCGAAGCGCCACUCAGACAAGCCUGACGAUCGAUCUGCUGCGUAACUGCGGUGCCAAGCUGCAGCUGAUGCUGGAGGAACUGUCCCCCGAAGAAUUGGACGCCGUCGUGCGGUCGAUGAGCAGGGCCAAGUUUGUGAUUCUUGGCACGAAUGUGCGAGUCCCCGAGGUGCUGGAGGCGCAGCGCAUCCACCCGCAGCAGCAGCAGCAGAUUUCUUCCGCAUCCCGCGCGCGCGGGUCUCCUUCGCACGCCGGCGGCGCUUCCACGUCACCGGUUUCUAUGGGGGCACCGGGUGGUGGUCCCUCGUCGACGGUGUGGCGUGCUGGAAGCACUGAUAGCGGCACAUUGACGGCUGGCGCGGCUGCCUCUGGCACAGCGGCAACGGCUUCGGCUGCAGCAGCCCUGACGGAAGACUAUCCUGAGAAUGAGAUUCAUGACCGGCAGGAGCUGAAAAUGAUGUCGAUGGCGACGGUGCAGCGGGAGCAGCAGAAGGCGCGCAAGCGUCAGAUGCAACAGCGACGCAGCAAGGAAGAAAUGGUGUAAGAGCAUCGCUGCUGCGUCUCUGCGCGCCGUCCUUUGAACAACUCCACCCCACCCCCGUCCACCUCGCUCUCAGCUUCGUGUCGAGUCCUUUUCACGGUGUCACCAAGGCACGCGACGAUAGCCAUCACCACUGCUCCGCUGCCGCUGCUAAUCCUCCAGUGAGUGUCUGUGUUUUGCGUGCGCGUGUGCUCACUUAGCGGUUCCCGCAGCUCACGACUCCUGACAUGUCGUCCCCCUCCCCGCCACCUUCCCAAACCCUCUCCACGCCCUCAAAGCAGCCUCAUGUACAUCUAGAUGUUCUCUACAUCUUUCCGUAUAUCUGCUCUGCCUGUCAAGUGAUCCGCGUCGAAGCCGGCAAGGUAAGUGACGCGAACGAAGGACAGGAAGCAAGCGCAGCGCGCACACCCAUGAUGUGAACACGAUCUCCUAUCGCUGUGCGCCCCGCGCGUCUGUCUCUGAGCAGGGAUGUCUGUGUUUUGGUCAGUGUGUCAGUGUGGCGGUGUGUCGGUCGGUCUGCCCCACCCCACUACAAUGUGGUCGGCUUCGGCUCUUUCCGUUAGUAUCCUUUCGGGGCUUGUCCGUCUCCUCUGUGUGUCUACCUGUAUAUAUAUAUAUAUAUAUAUAUAUAUAUAUAUAUAUAUGCGUAUGUAUGUAUGCCUCUGUGCCUGUGCGUGUGUGUGUGUGUGUGUGUGUGUAGCCUCCCUCUCUCUAUGUAUGCACGGUGGCGCUGCUCUCUCCACCAACACCCACCGCCCACCACCGCCAUCUCGAUUUCGCUUACAACGUUUUCCGUUUUCCUUGUUCUUAUUCCGAAUUAUGUUCCCUCUCCCUCCCUCUCUCUCCACUUGGGCAGCACGGAGGUGCAGCAUGUCGUGAAGGGGCGUCGAAGCC
RNAcentral lists this unclassified non-coding RNA (3370 nucleotides) under Leishmania donovani. Its description in RNAcentral is "gene:LdHU3.15.0710(CDS-product:hypothetical_prote in_conserved)". The record is from RNAcentral. Lineage: Eukaryota; Euglenozoa; Kinetoplastea; Trypanosomatida; Trypanosomatidae.